Microtus ochrogaster (prairie vole) is the source of this 132-nucleotide small nucleolar RNA. Lineage: Eukaryota; Metazoa; Chordata; Mammalia; Rodentia; Cricetidae. The record is from Ensembl.
UUGCACAUUUCAUUGACCUGCUUUCUUCUGAAUAUGUGAGCAGUGUUAUUUCUUAUGUGCUAUACAAAUACUUGAAGGUUAAUUAGCAGAAUAACUGUAUAUAGUAAUGCUGCCAGUCUCCUUCAAACAAAA